GGCCGACUAGCUCAGUUGGUUAGAGCGUGGUGCUAAUACACUCACUUUCAAUUGUGUGGCGCAAUUCACCCAAUUGAAAAUGAGGGUUACGCCAAGGUCGUCGGUUCGACCCCGGCGUUGGCCA
Transfer RNA from Punctularia strigosozonata HHB-11173 SS5, 124 nucleotides. It matches the Rfam family "tRNA". From Rfam's summary of the family: Transfer RNA (tRNA) molecules are approximately 80 nucleotides in length. Their secondary structure includes four short double-helical elements and three loops (D, anti-codon, and T loops). The record is from Rfam. Lineage: Eukaryota; Fungi; Basidiomycota; Agaricomycetes; Corticiales; Punctulariaceae.